CGCCUUGCCAGCCCGCUCAGAAACUUAAAGGAAUUGACGGGGGCCCGGCACAAGCGGAGGAACAUGUGGUUAAUUCGAUGAUACGCGAGGAACCUUACCUGGGCUCGAACGUAAGAUGACUGUAGGUGAAAGCUUACAUCUCUUCGGAGCAUUUUACGAGGUGCUGCAUGGUUGUCGUCAGCUCGUGCCGUGAGGUGUCGGGUUAAGUCCCAUAACGAGCGCAACCCCUACCUUUAGUUGCCAUCAGGUUAAGCUGGGGACUCUAAAGGAACUGCCUACGCAAGUAGUGAGGAAGGCGGGGAUGACGUCAAAUCAGCACGGCCCUUACGUCCAGGGCUACACACGUGCUACAAUGGCCGAUACAGAGGGCAGCUACCUGGUGACAGGAUGCAAAUCUCCAAAGUCGGUCUCAGUUCGGAUCGGAGUCUGCAACCCGACUCCGUGAAGUUGGAUUCGCUAGUAAUCGCGCAUCAGCCAUGGCGCGGUGAAUACGUUCCCGGGCCUU
RNAcentral lists this ribosomal RNA (505 nucleotides) under uncultured Sphingobacteriales bacterium. Its description in RNAcentral is "bacterial SSU rRNA". It matches the Rfam family "Bacterial small subunit ribosomal RNA", at positions 903 to 1382 of the family's 1533-position model. Lineage: Bacteria; Pseudomonadati; Bacteroidota; Sphingobacteriia; Sphingobacteriales. The record is from RNAcentral.